CGGACGGGUGAGUAACGCGUGAGCAAUCUGCCCAUAUCUGGGGGAUAACAGUUAGAAAUGACUGCUAAUACCGCAUAUGACCACGGGAAGGCAUCUUUCCGGGGUGAAAGAUUUAUCGGAUAUGGAUGAGCUCGCGUCCCAUUAGGUAGUUGGUGAGGUAACGGCCCACCAAGCCGACGAUGGGUAGCCGGCCUUAGAGGGUGAUCGGCCACAUUGGAACUGAGACACGGUCCAAACUCCUACGGAAGGCAGCAG
Molecule: ribosomal RNA, 255 nt
Filed under: uncultured bacterium
Lineage: Bacteria
Description: partial 16S ribosomal RNA
Rfam family: Bacterial small subunit ribosomal RNA
Source: RNAcentral